This 660-nucleotide ribosomal RNA is filed under the name uncultured archaeon. RNAcentral's name for it is "bacterial SSU rRNA". It matches the Rfam family "Archaeal small subunit ribosomal RNA", at positions 649 to 1306 of the family's 1478-position model. The record is from RNAcentral.
CUGACGGACCACCGGUUGCGAAAGCGCCUCUGGAGAACGGACCCGACGGUGAGGGACGAAAGCUAGGGUCUCGAACCGGAUUAGAUACCCGGGUAGUCCUAGCUGUAAACGAUGCUCGCUAGGUGCGGCGCAGGCUACGAGCUUGCGCUGUGCCGUAGGGAAGCCGAGAAGCGAGCCGCCUGGGAAGUACGUCCGCAAGGAUGAAACUUAAAGGAAUUGGCGGGGGAGCACUACAACCGGAGGAGCCUGCGGUUUAAUUGGACUCAACGCCGGACAUCUCACCGGCACCGACAGUGUGCAGUGACGGUCAGUAUGAUGAGCUUACCUGAGUCACUGAGAGGAGGUGCAUGGCCGCCGUCAGCUCGUACCGUGAGGCGUCCUGUUAAGUCAGGCAACGAGCGAGACCCGCAUCCCUAAUUGCCAGCAGCAGCCUUGUGCUGGCUGGGUACAUUAGGGAGACUGCCGUGGCCAACACGGAGGAAGGAACGGGCAACGGUAGGUCAGUAUGCCCCGAAUGUGCCGGGCGACACGCGGGCUACAAUGGCCGAGACAGUGGGACGCCACCCCGAGAGGGGGCGCUAAUCUCCUAAACUCGGUCGUAGUUCGGAUUGCGGGUUGAACUCACCCGCAUGAAGCUGGAUUCGGUAGUAAUCGCGUCUC